UGCAGGACUGACAUACAUAGAAUGGA
This 26-nucleotide non-coding RNA is filed under the name Rattus norvegicus (Norway rat). The record is from RNAcentral. Lineage: Eukaryota; Metazoa; Chordata; Mammalia; Rodentia; Muridae.